UGUUUCACCGCGUGGGAAACAACGCCAUCGGAGUUUCACCAUGGUGAAACUACUUCCUUCUCUUUCCUCUUCGUUUCAUGCAAAAAGUGCAGUUUUGCUGACAUGACGCUCUAAUAAAUGUGCAUGACAUCCUGGUGAAACCUCCAUUGAGACUAGCCUUAGGGAUUGCAUUAAUCCCAACUGGAGUAGGGCCUUGUUUAGUUCUCAGACAAUUUUGUAAUAAAAAUAAUAAUUAAUUGUAUAGUUUAUCUGUAAUUUGCAAGAUAAAUUUUUUGAGCUUAAUUAGUACUAGAUGAUUGAAUAAUAUUUUGUUCCUAUUUUGAAAAAAAAGAGUAAACAAUGACC
RNAcentral lists this long non-coding RNA (345 nucleotides) under Sorghum bicolor (sorghum). Its description in RNAcentral is "long non-coding RNA (SBIC_LNC013519)". Lineage: Eukaryota; Viridiplantae; Streptophyta; Magnoliopsida; Poales; Poaceae. The record is from RNAcentral.